This 373-nucleotide ribosomal RNA is filed under the name uncultured organism. RNAcentral's name for it is "bacterial SSU rRNA". It matches the Rfam family "Bacterial small subunit ribosomal RNA", at positions 526 to 897 of the family's 1533-position model. The record is from RNAcentral.
CGUAGGGGGCGAGCGUUGUCCGGAAUUAUUGGGCGUAAAGAGCGUGUAGGCUGUUCGGUAAGUCUGCCGUGAAAACCUGAGGCUCAACCUCGGGCGUGCGGUGGAUACUGCCGGGCUAGAGGACGGUAGAGGCGAGUGGAAUUCCCGGUGUAGCGGUGAAAUGCGCAGAUAUCGGGAGGAACACCAGUAGCGAAGGCGGCUCGCUGGGCCGUUCCUGACGCUGAGACGCGAAAGCUAGGGGAGCGAACAGGAUUAGAUACCCUGGUAGUCCUAGCCGUAAACGAUGGACACUAGGUGUGGGGGGAGUCGAAUCCCUCUGUGCCGCAGUUAACGCGUUAAGUGUCCCGCCUGGGGAGUACGGCCGCAAGGACUA